Molecule: ribosomal RNA, 461 nt
Filed under: uncultured bacterium
Lineage: Bacteria
Description: bacterial SSU rRNA
Rfam family: Bacterial small subunit ribosomal RNA
Source: RNAcentral
ACACUGUACGAGUUUGAUCAUGGCUCAGAACGAACGCUGGCGGCAGGCCUAACACAUGCAAGUCGAGCGAGAUCUUCGGAUCUAGCGGCGGACGGGUGAGUAACGCGUGGGAAUAUACCCUUUGGUACGGAAUAGUCCUGGGAAACUGGGGGUAAUACCGUAUGUGCUCUUCGGAGGAAAGAUUUAUCGCCAAAGGAUUAGCCCGCGUUGGAUUAGGUAGUUGGUGGGGUAAUGGCCUACCAAGCCGACGAUCCAUAGCUGGUUUGAGAGGAUGAUCAGCCACACUGGGACUGAGACACGGCCCAGACUCCUACGGGAGGCAGCAGUGGGGAAUCUUAGACAAUGGGCGCAAGCCUGAUCUAGCCAUGCCGCGUGAGCGAUGAAGGCCUUAGGGUUGUAAAGCUCUUUCAGUGGGGAAGAUAAUGACUGUACCCACAGAAGAAGCCCCGGCUAACUACGUG